Long non-coding RNA from Branchiostoma floridae (Florida lancelet), 626 nucleotides. RefSeq lists it as uncharacterized. The transcript has 2 exons. The record is from RefSeq and is a predicted model, not a curated record. NCBI's taxonomy places the organism in Eukaryota, Metazoa, Chordata, Leptocardii, Amphioxiformes, Branchiostomatidae.
AUUCUACCAUCCGUUCCUUGCAUUGAUUACAAGCACAGGGUAAGUAAUGCUGUUUAGGUCCAUUUUCAAUUCAAACCUGUAGACCAUAUGAACAGGUAAUAUGACCAGAAACAGAUGUUGAAGAAUGAAAAGGCAGCCAAGAACACUAUACGGGUCACAUAAUCAAUCUGUUGGCUCAAGUACGUGUGUACAUCCGGGUCAUUUAUGUCAGAGUCAGUGUCAAUGACGUCAGAAGUUGCAUCUGUGACGUCAGUCACCAUGCUACCGUCUGCCAUGCUACUGGUAUCCUCCGAUGAUUUGCCGGUGGUGUUCAGGGUGUCGUAUCCAGAGGUUUGGCUAUCUACCUCGUCAUGCAGGACGCCCUUAGAGAUCAUCACCAGGAGUGGGAUGAUCCCGAGAGUGAUGCGGCCGGAGAUGGCUUUCUGGUGCAGCGGCAGCCAUGUCUGCAUGAGAGACGCCACCACGAGGAUGAAAGACGGGAUGAAAGUAGUGGAGAUGUAGAUCCACAGGCGCCUGGUCAUACCGAGCUUGACUGAUACCGUGGUGUAACUGUUGGUGUCUGAAAACAAAUCAAUCACACACGGUGUCAACACAAUUCACAUGAUUAAAAUCAUAUUGAAACAGUA